GCCCCCCGCCGGCUCCGAGCGCCCCGGAGCGGGGCGGCGCAGCCCGGCGCCUCGCACCGGUUCGGCCGGGCCCGCGCCCGCCUCCGCCUCCUCGCCUUUCCCCGCGCCGGGGACGGAGCGCGGCUCGCCCCGCGACCCCGCGGCCCGCGCCGCCGCCUCAUCCGCGCCGAGCCGCAGCCGCCGCCCCCCCGGGGCGAAGGCCCGGCGGGCCCCGGAGCGGCGGGCGGCCGGGGCCGGGCCUGGCGCAAAGCGGCGGCGGGGCCGGAACAGGCCGCGAGCCUGGUGCGCCCGGCGGGCCUUCCCCUUCCACCCGACGGCGGGCUCGCCGGCCGCCUGCCCACGCGGCCCCCGGCGCCGGGCAGCCGAGCCGGGGCGGUCCCGGCAGCGCUCCUUACCGAGGCCCGCGAGAGACGGGAACCGAGAAGCCGAGGCCGAGCGGCGGCGAAGCCCGAAACUGACACGGCGGCCAUCUUGGUGCCCGUUGGCGUGCGGAGCCGCGUGCCGUGCCCGUACCACUCACAUGCACGUGCUCGAAAACUGCUCUCUCCUUAGGCGGCUUUGUGAGGUGCCAACAAGAUAUGGGAAAAUUCUUGGAGAAGUUUAAAUUUCAAGUUAGCAUCCCAGCUACACAGCAACUCUUCAAAGGCCAGACUACUCAAGGGAUUUUGACAAGAUAUCUCUUGUGAUUAGUUUUUCAUAACUCUAUAGGAUUAUAAACAAAUGUAUUCCCCUUCAUCCUUCCGCAACCUUUACCUUUGGUGUGCAGAAAUAAUUAAUUACCCUAUGGUUUCUUUUGCAUUGGCACUGACAUUCUUGAUGACUAAAAAAAACAAGGUUACCAUAGGAAAUAUAAAGAAGUAACAACAUCGUGAACUAGGUAAAAUAUUAACUAUUUUGAUGAGGAGUGCAAGCAAUUUAUGCUGUUGCAUACGCUUAACUAUGUGCUGCUGUUUUCUGUCUAUGAUGCCUAUACGACUUCUGUUAAUACAGACUCCAAAAGCCUCUUAGACAGUGAUGAAGUUAAAACGAUAUAUAUUUAUUUUAAAUUUAUAACAGAAUGCUGUAAUUAAAUGAAAAAUUUAUACCACUUUGUUGCUCUGAAAUGCAUAAUUCAUUGCAGUAAUUUGAAUUAGACAUUUAAAAAACAUCUUGCUGCUUAAAAAUGCACUUGAAACAAAUCACGAGUGUAAAUGAUAAAUCAAUGUAUAGGUGAGUUCUCCUUUAUUUCUGUUAUAGUAAAAAAGCUCACCUAGUGCAUGUUGAAUUAAUAAAAGGUAACGUCAGAGACA
Molecule: long non-coding RNA, 1289 nt
Filed under: Anser brachyrhynchus (Pink-footed goose)
Lineage: Eukaryota; Metazoa; Chordata; Aves; Anseriformes; Anatidae
Description: lncRNA (ENSABRG00000001495.1)
Source: RNAcentral